AGCAGCCGCGGUAAUUCCAGCUCCAAUAGCGUAUAUUAAAGUUGUUGCAGUUAAAAAGCUCGUAGCUGAACUUCGGGGUUUACCCAUUGGUCAGGCUUAAUUGUCUGUACUGGUGAGAUAAAUCUCUACCUUCUGAGGAACUUUCAUGCCAUUUAGUUGGUGUGAUAGGAAAUCAGGACUGUUACUUUGAAAAAAUUAGAGUGUUUAAAGCAGGCUAACGUCUGAAUACAUUAGCAUGGAAUAAUGAAAUAGGACGGAUUGGUUCUAUUUCGUUGGUUUCUAGGAUCACCGUAAUGAUUAAUAGGGAUAGUUGGGGGCAUUAGUAUUCAAUUGUCAGAGGUGAAAUUCUUGGAUUUAUUGAAGACUAACUAUUGCGAAAGCAUUUGCCAAGGAUGUUUUCAUUAAUCAAGAACGAAAGUUAGGGGAUCGAAGACGAUCAGAUACCGUCGUAGUCUUAACCAUAAACUAUGCCGA
This 474-nucleotide ribosomal RNA is filed under the name uncultured Diversispora. RNAcentral's name for it is "SSU rRNA". It matches the Rfam family "Eukaryotic small subunit ribosomal RNA", at positions 569 to 1045 of the family's 1831-position model. The record is from RNAcentral. Lineage: Eukaryota; Fungi; Glomeromycota; Glomeromycetes; Diversisporales; Diversisporaceae.